Molecule: small RNA, 127 nt
Filed under: Marmota monax (woodchuck)
Lineage: Eukaryota; Metazoa; Chordata; Mammalia; Rodentia; Sciuridae
Source: RNAcentral
GCUGGGUGCUGUGGCACACACCUGUAAUCCCAGCAAUUUGGGAGGCUGAGACAAGAGGAUUGCGAGUUCAAAGCUAGCCUCAGCAAUUUAGUGAGGCACUAAGCAACUCAGUGAGACCCUGUCUCUA